GUUUACAGCCAUGUCGCCCUGAACAAGCCCAAUCCCGUCUGAUCUUAGAAGCUGAGCAGGGUCGAGCCUGGUUAGUACUUAGAUGAGAGACCACCUAGAAAGACCAGGUGCUGUAGGCA
Molecule: ribosomal RNA, 119 nt
Filed under: Pteropus alecto (black flying fox)
Lineage: Eukaryota; Metazoa; Chordata; Mammalia; Chiroptera; Pteropodidae
Source: RNAcentral